ACGGAAGGCAGCAGUUAGGAAUAUUGGACAAUGGGGGCAACCCUGAUCCAGCCAUGCCGCGUGAGUGUUAAGGCCUUCGGGUUGUAAAGCUCUUUUGUAUGGGAAAAUGAUGAUGGUCCCAUAAGAAUAAGCACCGGCUAACUUCGUGCCAGCAGCCGCGGUAAUACGAAGGGUGCAAGCGUUGUUCGGAAUUACUGGGCGUAAAGGGCGCGUAGGCGGAUAAGUUAGUCAGGAGUGAAAUCCCGGGGCUCAACCUCGGAACUGCUUUUGAAACGGCUUAUCUUGAGUGUGACAGGGGAUGAUGGAAUACCCAGUGUAGAGGUGAAAGUCGUAGAUAUUGGGUAGAACACCAGAGGCGAAGGCGGUCAUCUGGGUCACUACGGAGGCUGAGGCGCGAAGGCGUGGGGACCAAACAGGAUAGAUACCCUGGUA
This 432-nucleotide ribosomal RNA is filed under the name uncultured Rhodospirillaceae bacterium. RNAcentral's name for it is "partial 16S ribosomal RNA". It matches the Rfam family "Bacterial small subunit ribosomal RNA", at positions 341 to 792 of the family's 1533-position model. The record is from RNAcentral. Lineage: Bacteria; Pseudomonadati; Pseudomonadota; Alphaproteobacteria; Rhodospirillales; Rhodospirillaceae.